This 749-nucleotide small RNA is filed under the name Pan troglodytes (chimpanzee). Its description in RNAcentral is "processed transcript". Lineage: Eukaryota; Metazoa; Chordata; Mammalia; Primates; Hominidae. The record is from RNAcentral.
AGGCCAGGUUGCUGUGCUGGCUCAUCCUCCUUAGAAAGAUAUACAACCUCCAAUGAGUUCCCUGAUGAUACCCUGAACUUCAUCAAGACGCACCCGCUCAUGGAUGAGGCAGUGCCCUCCAUCUUCAACAGGCCAUGGUUCCUGAGAACAAUGGUCAGAUGCAGCUAUGAUGGAGUCGAAGACAAAAGGAUCAUGGGCAUGCAGCUGGACAGAGCAAGCAGCUCUCUGUAUGUUGCGUUCUCUACCUGUGUGAUAAAGGUUCCCCUUGGCCGGUGUGAACGACAUGGGAAGUGUAAAAAAACCUGUAUUGCCUCCAGAGACCCAUAUUGUGGAUGGAUAAAGGAAGGUGGUGCCUGCAGCCAUUUAUCACCCAACAGCAGACUGACUUUUGAGCAGGACAUAGAGCGUGGCAAUACAGAUGGUCUGGGGGACUGUCACAAUUCCUUUGUGGCACUGAAUGGGCAUUCCAGUUCCCUCUUGCCCAGCACAACCACAUCAGAUUCGACGGCUCAAGAGGGGUAUGAGUCUAGGGGAGGAAUGCUGGACUGGAAGCAUCUGCUUGACUCACCUGACAGCACAGACCCUUUGGGGGCAGUGUCUUCCCAUAAUCACCAAGACAAGAAGGGAGUGAUUCGGGAAAGUUACCUCAAAGGCCACGACCAGCUGGUUCCCGUCACCCUCUUGGCCAUUGCAGUCAUCCUGGCUUUCGUCAUGGGGGCCGUCUUCUCGGGCAUCACCGUCUACUGCGU